GUCUUUUUGAUUUAUAUAUAAAGUCUAACCUGCCCACUGAAACAUUUAAAUGGCCGCAGUAAUUUGACUGUGCAAAGGUAGCAUAAUCAUUAGUUUUUUAAUUAAAAGCUUGUAUGAAAGGUUGGACGAAGUAAAUUCUGUCUCUAUUUAAUUAAAUUUAGAAUUUAAUUUUUAAGUUAAAAAGCUUAAAUUUUUAUAAAAGACGAGAAGACCCUAUAGAGCUUUAUAAUUUAUUUUAAUAUAAUUAAUUAAGAUUUAUUUAAGUUUUAUUGAUAUAAUUAUUUUAUUGGGGUAAUAGAAAGAUUUAAAAAAUUCUUUUUUUUGUUAACAUUUAUUUAUGAAUAUAAUGAUCCAUUUUUAAUGAUUAAAAGAUUAAGUUACCUUAGGGAUAACAGCGUAAUUUUUUUAGAGAGUUCAUAUCGAUAAAAAAGUUUGCGACCUCGAUGUUGGAUUAAAGAUUAUUUUAGGUGUAGAAGUUUAAAAUUUUGGUCUGUUCGACCAUUAAAUCUUUACAUGAUCUGAGUUCAGACCGGUGUAAGCCAGGUCGGUUUCUAUCUUUAUUAAAAUAAAAUAUUUUAGUACGAAAGGACCAAAUAUUUAAUAUAUUUAUAUUUUAUUUAUGAAUAU
RNAcentral lists this ribosomal RNA (627 nucleotides) under Zariquieya troglodytes. RNAcentral's name for it is "partial 16S ribosomal RNA". It matches the Rfam family "Bacterial large subunit ribosomal RNA", at positions 1829 to 2730 of the family's 2925-position model. The record is from RNAcentral. Lineage: Eukaryota; Metazoa; Arthropoda; Insecta; Coleoptera; Carabidae.